GACGAACGCUGGCGGCGUGCUUAACACAUGCAAGUCGAACGGAAAGGCCCUGCUUUUGUGGGGUACUCGAGUGGCGAACGGGUGAGUAACACGUGAGUAACCUGCCCUUGACUUUGGGAUAACUUCAGGAAACUGGGGCUAAUACCGGAUAGGAGCUCCUGCUGCAUGGUGGGGGUUGGAAAGUUUCGGCGGUUGGGGAUGGACUCGCGGCUUAUCAGCUUGUUGGUGGGGUAGUGGCUUACCAAGGCUUUGACGGGUAGCCGGCCUGAGAGGGUGACCGGCCACAUUGGGACUGAGAUACGGCCCAGACCCCUACGGGAGGCAGCAGUGGGGAAUAUUGCACAAUGGGCGGAAGCCUGAUGCAGCAACGCCGCGUGCGGGAUGACGGCCUUCGGGUUGUAAACCGCUUUCGCCUGUGACGAAGCGUGAGUGACGGUAAUGGGUAAAGAAGCACCGGCUAACUACGUG
This 468-nucleotide ribosomal RNA is filed under the name uncultured bacterium. RNAcentral describes it as "partial 16S ribosomal RNA". It matches the Rfam family "Bacterial small subunit ribosomal RNA", at positions 28 to 507 of the family's 1533-position model. The record is from RNAcentral.